GCGCCCUUAGCUCAGUUGGAUAGAGCAGCGACCUUCUAAGUCGUGGGCCGCAGGUUCGAAUCCUGCAGGGCGCGCCA
This 77-nucleotide transfer RNA is filed under the name Escherichia coli. Its description in RNAcentral is "tRNA-Arg". It matches the Rfam family "tRNA". From Rfam's summary of the family: Transfer RNA (tRNA) molecules are approximately 80 nucleotides in length. Their secondary structure includes four short double-helical elements and three loops (D, anti-codon, and T loops). Further hydrogen bonds mediate the characteristic L-shaped molecular structure. tRNAs have two regions of fundamental functional importance: the anti-codon, which is responsible for specific mRNA codon recognition, and the 3' end, to which the tRNAs corresponding amino acid is attached (by aminoacyl-tRNA synthetases). tRNAs cope with the degeneracy of the genetic code in two manners: having more than one tRNA (with a specific anti-codon) for a particular amino acid; and 'wobble' base-pairing, i.e. permitting non-standard base-pairing at the 3rd anti-codon position. The record is from RNAcentral. Lineage: Bacteria; Pseudomonadati; Pseudomonadota; Gammaproteobacteria; Enterobacterales; Enterobacteriaceae.